RNAcentral lists this long non-coding RNA (6045 nucleotides) under Citrus x clementina. RNAcentral describes it as "Citrus clementina (C. clementina) long non-coding RNA (CCLE_LNC000128)". The record is from RNAcentral. Lineage: Eukaryota; Viridiplantae; Streptophyta; Magnoliopsida; Sapindales; Rutaceae.
GAAGCGUCAUAAAGAUUUUAGAAGGGUGGCUACACACUCCAGUGUUAAGAGAUCUUGAUGUUAUUGUUAAGAGUUGGGCUGACAAACAGAUCCGUUGGUUGGUUUGAAAAUGUAAUUAGUAGCAUUGUAUUGGGCUGGACUCAUUCUUAUUGUUAAACUCCCCUUCCACAACUUAGGGCACAAUGCUUAUCAGCCCGAUCAACAGUGAUACCCCUCGUUUUGAGAAAAUCAUUUUAUGUUAAAUCAAAGGUACCUUGUCUACAGUACAGCGACUCAAUCACAUUUUGACGUAUAUAUGUAGCUGUAUAUAUAUUUAGGUUAUAAUGAAGAAUCUCAUACUUUAUUUAAAAUAUAAGAUCAUAAUUAGAGUUAUUAGAUUCAUCAAAUUCAAUGAUCUAUCGUCUUUUUAUUUUAAAAUUUAUAUAUGAUAGACCCUAUUAUAUGUAGAUUUUAAAAUGAAAAAACAAUAGACUAUUGGAUCUAAAUCCAAUAGUUUAAAUUGGGAUCAGGUAAGUACUAUCACACGCAUUAUUAUGUGUGACAAGUUACGUGUCACGACUUCAUUGGCUAGCAUCUCACAGCUCAACCAAUGAAAUCAUGACACAUAAAAAAUUGUGAAUUGUAUGCAACAAUGCCCACGGUUUAGAGAUCUACUGAAACUAAUUCAGAAAUCUAUUCUUGACAAAAUAUUUAUGGAGAUAUCCACCAGGCUACCACUACGAGACUACCUACAGUUACUGGAGAGAGAAUAUUUUGAGUCACUAUAAUACCGGAACUUGUGACCUCAUGUCAUACUAUCGUUAGCCAUCUAUAUCCCCUUCCUACCAGUUAUAAUUUCUUUGCCAGCAUAAUAAAUAAAGAACAGGGAGAUCAGUAACAUUGGUCAGGGACUCUGCGAUUCAGGCGUUCUUUCGCACAAGGAGAGCCAAGGCAUCCUCAUUGACUCUCUAAUAAGGAAUUUUUAUUAGGCUUAGGAAGAUAAUCUCCAUUAAGUAGGGGUGAAAAGACAUGCAACGUGUACUUUUUGUAUAGAAACCUCGUUGCAGAUAUUUUCAUGCGAACACUUCACUUAUUGCAAUCAUUAUUCAUAAAUAAUGCUUCUAAUUAAUUAAGUCACUAAAAUGUCUGCAUCCAAUUGGACGUUUGACAUGGCAUUGCCUCUAAAUCGUAUCAUUUGCUUACUUAUAUACAUUGCUUCGCGUUAAGUCUUGUUUCUCUGUAUCUAAUUAAUGCUUUUGAAAUAUUUGAAAUAAUCAUUAACUCAUAGCUAAGAAGUUGCCAUCUUUUUGGUCACCAUCAAAUAUGUUCCAUUGUCUUGUACAUCGUCAAAACUUAGGUGUAUUUUUUAACUUCAUAAUAAAUUGUAAUACUGAUAAUGAUAUGCAAAUCUAGUACUCUCUUUAUUAAACGAUGUCUUGACAUUGGUCCACAUGGAUAAUGCCAUCCAAUAAUUCUAACUUUUGUGGCUAGGCUAGCUAUUGUUAUUUGAUGGUUGAGAUUUUUGAGAAUAUACUAUAUGAAUUACAAAGUGUUUAUAAAUCUAAAUUCUAACCAUAUUACGUAGAGAAUAUGCAAGCUGUUUAUAAUUUUGGAUGCUUUCACCAAUCACCACUGGAACAUUAUUAUUGAGAGGUAAACUAAUAAAUCCAAUCACAUAUGCCCUUCAACUAUCAAUAAUUUACUAUUUAUACAUUUAUAAUUUAUUGCGUUAAUUUGAUUUGUUGGGUUAGCUAAUUGGACACUAGUGAACAAGAAUCAAAAGGGUUUCCUUCAAAUUUUAAUUCUUCUCCGUCGUGUUUGUACUUGGAGGCAAUGGCAAGUAGUCGAAUGCUCCCUUACUGCAUGUACAUGUUGCUGACCCUAUUGGGUUUGCACAGCCUAAUAAAUUUCCGAUCUCCUAUUUACUAGUAUUAGAAUAGCUUUUGAUAUAUGCAAUAUAACAAAUAAUGCAAUAAAUUAGUUUGAAAAGUUGUGAAAAUAAAAUUGUGAAAAAUCAUUCACCACACUUAAUGAGUAUGACACUUUAUUUUGAACAUUUUUAAGAGAAAUGUCGUUUAAAAUUUAUUUUAUCUCUCUAUCAUUAAUUUUUUUUUCCUUUUUUCGUUAUCAAUAUCAUUGACUUCCUUUUUUUAGCUAAAAAAUAAGAUUCUUCAGAGUAAAUUCAACAAGUACGUACGACAAGCUCCCAAAUAAUAGUAAAACAAGACACGAUCAUGGAUUUGUCUCUUUAAUGGAGCCAGAAGUUGUGGGUGACCUAAUUGAUUAAUUUUCAUAUUAAGCAACGACAAAAAUUUGAUAUGAAAUUCCAGGACCUUCAACUUAGUGCCUGAAAUGGACCAUCCACAAUAGGUAAAAGACACCCCACAGCUUAUUUAUAAUUAAAAGACAAGGAGCCCCUUCAUGCCAAAGUAAGCUCGUAUUAUCCAUAAUGCCAUAUAUAUUAUUUAAUUAAUUUGCUUAAUGAAAUAUUUUUGCUAAAGGAAAUGAUUAUGAACGUUGUUGCUUGAACAUUAAAAAAAAUGAACGCAUAAUGAAUUAAAGCAAACGUUCACUAUUAAAAAGAUGAGCAAGCCACCAACAAAAUCACUUCCCUGGAAGUGGGGAUUGGAUUUGCUUCAAAGGCCUUUUUUAAGGUCGCCGUUCCGCUUAAACAUUUAUUUAUUUUUUAAAAUUUUUUUUUAAAGCAGGUAUUAAUUUUUUUAUAAAACAUAAAGAAAAUUAAAUAAGAAAAAGAGACUCACUUUCCUUUAAAUAAAAUGAAAGCAUCUUUAUGCUUUUCACCAAUGAAAUAAAUCUUUCAACAAUAUAAUAGUAUGAAAUACAAGAUUUUUUAUAUGAUAUAUUAUAUGUCUUUUGAAAUAAUAAAUCCACACCAUGUGUCUUGUUUUACUAUUUGGUUCCAGCUCAAAUCUAAAUCAAAAAAAUAAAUUUAUAUUUGAGGGAAGCUCGUGCGAAGUUUGGGUAUAAGUGUAUUUUUCUAAUAUUUGGGGCAUGUGGUUUAACUAAGGUAUCUUAAGUGGUGACCUAAAGUAAUUUGCAUAGUGAAUUGAGCUGGUCAUACGAGGAAAAAUAGGGAGCACUUAGUGACACUCCAGAAGGAUUUUAUAUGGGACCCUAAUAUGUGUUUAGGUGUAGUUAGGGUGUAUUCAAGGGAUACCUCAGGUAAUCUCACAUAAUACUUAGUGUAGAUAGUAUAUCUCAAAUAAGCUCAUAUGUCAAACACAAUUUGGAUCUCAAAUUGAAAAUAUAGCAAAAUAAAUAUAAAUAUAAAAAAAUAUAUUAUUUAUCUGAUUCGACCUUUGGCCUCCAUCCACGGGAGCUAAUUAUCACUAAUCCACUACAUAAUUAGGAGGUUAUAUAAGAUUUUACAUUAUCCAAGAUGAAUAACGUAAGCUAUAUAGCUAUGUGGACAUGUUUGGUCUUGAUACGUAUGAAGAUGAUGAAUAAAGAUUUGAAGAGUGAUAAUAUGGUGGAGAAGAUGAUGAAGGUAGAGAACAAGAUUCGCCUCCCAAAAAUGAAGAAGUGAGUAAUGAUCUAAAAGAUCAAAAGAGUGUGUCUUUGAGAGAGGAGAGGAGGGGAGGCAAGGAGAUGAUAGCAUGAGAGGUAGGGAGAUGAGAGCAUAAGAGAGCAUGUCCUAAUAUGUGUGAGUAAGACAUUAAUAUAGUGGAGGUUAGUGAAAAGGAGAGGAUGUUUUUAGGGCUAAUUGUCAUACUUAGGGAAAAAGGACAAUAAUAUUCAUUUUGUACUAAAUUUAUUCUUUCUCAUAAAUAUCUUAAAGUAUCCAAUCUUGAACAUUGAUUUUCAAGUUCAUCCAAUGUAGUAAAUUCUUCCAAAUGACAUCUUUAUUGCGUCCAUUUCAUCUGUCAUUCAUUUAUUGGUGCAAAAUAUAAUUCUAAAUUUACCCCCAAACAAUGGAUAAAGUCUAAAUCAAUUUUUUAACCACAUAUUUCGUAAAAGUUAUUCGAUCAAACUUUGAUGGCAUUGUUAUAGUCAUUCAAUUGAGAGUUUUAAGCAGAAUCAUAAAUCAAUUUUAAAAUUAUCACCCCCACACAUAAUCAGUUAAAAGAUUUUCUUGUGUUUUUAUAAGGGAUGCUGGGUGGGGUUAUUUGAAUUUACUAUAGUACUCCAUAAACCCACUUUUCCGUUAAAAAAAAAUCAAUUAAUAAAACGGCCAUGAGUUAAAUUACUAUCAUAGACAAUGUAAUUAAGCCACCUUCUCCACCACCUACAAACCCAGCUAAUUUUAAUUUAUCUAGUUUUCUUUUGAUAAUUUUGCCUUAUGCUCCUUCGUAUACGCUUCUAUAGCUAUUUUUUUCUUUUAAAUGCUUGAAACUGAUUGUCAAAAGAAAUCUUGACAUAGACUAGACAACAAACUACAAAUAAAAGUAAUAUUAUUGAAGCAUAAGGGAAUAUAUAUAUAUAUUAAAAAAAAAAGAAGGAAAUCAUCAUGCAAGAUGGGAAAGCCAUUGGUGUUUCAAUUUGUUGUUACAUAUGAUUCGGUUAUACUUUUUACUGCCAUUAACAUAUUUUUCGUAGGUGAUUCUGAAUUUCUAGCGACAAAAAAAUUGAAAUUAAUUUAAUAAGGGUACAUGGGGCAUUAACACAGGUUUGUAAAGUAAAACUUUGAUUUUUAGAUUGUAAUAGAGGUUGAUUGAGAAAAUGGGUUUAAAUAGUGGGUUGAAACAUACCAACUCUUUUCUGUAAGUCAAUUAUUAUUAUUUUUUAGCUCAAAUGUUUAAUUACUAAGUUAGGUGUUAGGUUUCUUUUAUUCCUGGUGAAAUGAAGAAAUGGUUGACUGUAGAGCACAAUUCAAGUUGAACUUGAGCACCUCAGUUGAUUCUACAAGUAUACUUCUUGAACGAAUUAAUUUCUCAUUAAAAUUCUCUCAAUAUAUAAAAAUUCCAUACAUAAUUUUUCCCGCAAUGAAAUGAAAUAUCCAAACACGUGUUUAAAAAGUUGAACAGUAAUAACAUUAGAGGUAUAAAAUUUUGUUCCAACUCCAUUUAAAUAAACCGACGUGUCAUGUCGUGUAAUUACCACAUAUUCCAUUACCAAAGGUUUGUAUCUAACGACCUGUAGUUUACUCGUUAAAUUAAUGGGAAAUACGCGCGUGCUAGCUACCAGAACUUGUGCGGGGGCAACUAACUGUUAUUACCUAAUAUAAACUAGCUCAAUUUUAAAAGUCACUCAACACAUAUAUAUAUAUAUAUCUGUAUGGGCUAAUGCUAAGUUACAUGCAUGUACCUUACACUCCUCUCAUAUGAAUAGUGAAUGAUGUGGGUCCACUCACUAUUUAUGUGAGAGAGUUAUAAAAUACAUGCAUGUAACUUAGAGGGAUCCACCUGUAUGUAUAUAACAAGUUCAACAAUUACGUCUUCUCUUUCCUUACUUACUAUGAUAUUAAUUUUUUUUCAUGACGCGUUAGAGCACGCGCGCGCGACGUAAGCGAUGUAUAUUAUUAUUAUAUAGUAGGUGCUGCCAGGUUUCCCGGGCGGGCCCCAGUUUGACUGAGUUACUGACAUGGCACGCUCAGGGCCGCCCAACUCAACCAAGUUUGAGUGACGCCGCGGGGCCCACAAAUGCCGAACUAUAAUGAUGAAGAGGGAGAGAGACACAACGAGUGGUGCGUCAGGCCACCUGAUUUCAACCAACGGAGAGAAAACCACCCACAGGCCCAGACCAAAAGCCAGAAAGAGAGAGAGGGAGACUUUUAUUAGGCUUCUAGUCUUCUACUCAGUUGCUGACUUCAUUCAGAGUGUGAUUACCAAAGUGCCCCUGGGAAGCAAUUCGGCCUCGUGAGUUUUAUGUUUUUUUGACCAUUCGCGUGAUGCAUUGCAUGCAACUAUGCAAAUUGCAAGCUGGAUUGGCUCUGUGCGGAUUCAUGGGAUUUGCCAGCCGCCAACCAAGCCGCGGAGACGUGAAGGUUCUGGGAAAACUUUGCAGCUUUAGAUUUUUUUCUCAUUAAUUUGGGGCAUAAUAAUAAGGCGGUGGCAAUAAUAAUAAUAUUAGUUGCUGAAUUUUCUUAAAUAAUAUGUUACGCAAUUU